RNAcentral lists this transfer-messenger RNA (129 nucleotides) under Burkholderiaceae bacterium. Its description in RNAcentral is "partial transfer-messenger RNA". It matches the Rfam family "transfer-messenger RNA", at positions 1 to 135 of the family's 374-position model. Rfam says of the family: Bacterial tmRNA, also known as 10Sa RNA or SsrA, is named for its dual tRNA and mRNA-like properties. Lineage: Bacteria; Pseudomonadati; Pseudomonadota; Betaproteobacteria; Burkholderiales; Burkholderiaceae. The record is from RNAcentral.
GGGGCCGACCUGGUUUCGACGUGGGUUACAAAGCAGUGGAGGGCAUACCGAGGACCCGUCACCUCGUUAAUCAAUGGGAAUGCAAUAACUGCUAACGACGAACGUUACGCACUGGCAGCCUAAGGGCCG